UUUGAAGAGUUUUAGUUCUUACAAUGUAGUAAGAAGAAUAGUUGAGCACCAAAAGGUAAGUACUAUUCCUAUUAUUAGGUUAUUUGAUCAGGAUUUCUUUCCGUAGUUUCCUUUAUUUCUCUUAUUUUCUCUUAUUUUAUCAUUUUUUUAAUGAUGUAAGAAAUGUAAACUGUAAGGAAAGUAAAUAACUAGUGUUAAGAUUGAUGUUUAACAGGGACGACAGACGAAGAGAACUAUAAGUU
This 242-nucleotide long non-coding RNA is filed under the name Carica papaya (papaya). RNAcentral describes it as "long non-coding RNA (CPAP_LNC005509)". Lineage: Eukaryota; Viridiplantae; Streptophyta; Magnoliopsida; Brassicales; Caricaceae. The record is from RNAcentral.